GACGGGCUAAAAGCAGCAUAAGCAGAAAUAGUCUUGGCUGUUUGUUUAGCAGAGCUGAUGACUGGGUUUUCUUUCUCGUUUGCAGAGUGAUUCUCUGCGAGUAGUUACCUAGCAGUGCAGGAGCAGCAGGAUUUCUCAGGACUGGAUAAUAAGGGCUUUUGAAGCACAGUGUAGGGUUAUUUUUGUUGCUUUUGAGUUUUGGUUGUUCCCCCCGCCCCGCCUCUGUGCUCAGAGAAGCACCGUUCUCCUACGGCUCCAGUCUCUCCCUGGGUGCCGGGGGUAUUCCUGCCCUGCCAGGGUAUUGAGCAGGGCAAUUUGGUUUCUUCGCUGCCUUUUGUAGCAACAUCUGGGAGGUGCAUUCAGCCGAUGGCGACAAACGAUGCCUGGUGAGCUGCAGUGCUUGGAUCUUGCUAGCGGCACCGUCCUCCCCCAGGGACGGGUCUUUUCCAGCGCUCCGGCUCUCUCAUGCCCCUUCACUGCCACACCUGCCUCCAUCCGGCCGUGGUUAGGAGGAGAGCUGCCACCGGCAGCUGAAGGGGAAGCUGCCAUGCGGUGUGAGCGCAGGGCAGCCGGCUUCUGCGCGUCUGCCUUGCCGGGUGCAGGUGCUGCCGGUCCCCUCCCCAUCUGUCACAUCAUCUCCUUUGUGUUGUGACACUUUCCUGCUUGGAGAAGGAUCAGUCUAACAGCCUGGAAGGAAGCCGGCUGUGCUGGCGGCUGCCUGCGCUGCCCGCUCCUGCUGCUGGCCCUGCCUUUCCUGCCCUCCAUCCCGACAGGAGCUGUCACGAGAGCAGCGGCGGGGGAGACUGUGGAGUUGUACGUUCCCCUCCCGGAGGGGACGUCAUCUGUCUGGGUGAUAUUUGUGACAGCCUAGGGAAGGAGCAGGGAAGCCUUUGACCUUUCACGGGGGUAAGGCGCUGUUUUAAUAGGAGUUGGCAUUACAUCCAAGGCAGUCAAAAGCUUAAUUCUCCAAGCUGGAAGCAGAGCAGGGGGAAGGUGCCGGCUCACGUCCCCACCUGAGCUCGCUGGCUGCCCUGGUCUCCUUGAAGCCUGGCUCAAGCCAUGACAAAAUGCCAGUUUGUCUUGUUGGGAAGCCAAGCCAGAGCGGUUUUCCUUGCCAGAUAACAGCAUGGACCUCGCCACGAUGACAUCUGAAUGCUUCUCCGUUGCAAAUUAGUUGUUUCUAGCAGCCUGGGGAUGGGAAAAAAAAAGUAACAUUGUUUGACUUUUGCUGCCAGGGUUAUUGUUUGUGUGGAAGGGAUGGGCACUGUGUUUGUGUUGCAUCUGGGAGCAUGGCUCUCCCCAAACACAUCCCCGCUUAGUUUUAGUGCGCGUGGACAAAGCUCGGUGGUGGUUCUCAUGGGAGAUUUCCUUGAAUCAGGGCAAAGCUUCCCUGAAGCCUCCCUCGAGCAUUGCUGAGAAACCUCCCUUCAACAGCCAGCGGCUGGAAGAGCAUGGAGGAGCAGGCAAAAGGACAUGUUGCAAUGUGAGACGAGAGUCCUUAAAUCAUUGAGUGGAAAGAGAAGGGGACCCUGGGGCUGUGGCCUUAUUUUUAGCCUUUUCCUAAAGGUUACCUAGCUGAUGCUUUAUGUUUGCCAGCUGGUAGAGCAGAGGAGCCUCCUGAUCGCUUUUGGGGUCCAGGAGGAGCAGGCAGGCGUGUUAAAUACGAAGCUUGCAGCCCUGGAGGUGACAUGGCGUUGGUGGUGGGGGACCAGAGCACGGAGCGAGUGUGAACUCGCUGCCUUUCUCCUGCCAAAAACCCCACAGCUUGGCGACACGGUGGUCUGACACACUGCUUCUGGACAGUCUGGCUGUGCUGGCUCAGCCUUGUUGGGUGCCUGUUGCUGUUUCCAGCCAUUGCAAGGAGGGAGCUUCUUCCCCAUCCUUAGGCAGGUGGGGAAAGUCUUCUCCCACAUAGGGUGGCAGAGGGGAUGGUGGAUCUCCCAGACCUUGUAGGGGACCAUCUUCCAAACUCUGUGGGCUCAGAGUGAGAACACUGUCUGAAAACAGACUCUCCAAGAAAUGCCCUGUUUUGCCCUUUCUCUUGGCCUCAGUUUUAAUUUACUCAUUUGUGAUGGUGGAAGACUUUUGCAGACAGCCUUUUGCGUCCCGUGGGCUGCAGGUUGGCAACUGCUGCACCAAGACAUUGGCAGUGUCUGGUUCCUGCUCCCAAUUUCGACCUGACUGUAGUCACGUUUCAGUUUGCGGAUCUAUGGCACAGUGACUUGCAAAUGCUUGCUCACGUUUGGGGUUUUAUUUUUGCAUGUGUUAUGGUUUUGGUGCGUUGAACUUCCUUCUCAAGCUCAGACAGCAGCAAGGCUGGCCCAAAACUCGGGCUGAAGGAGGGGGACGGGUGUCAGGGAGGCUGUGUUGUGCUGGUGGGACAUCCUGAGCGAAGCGGUUUUGUAACCUGCCUCUCCUGGGAAAAGUGUUGUCGGACCCUUCGUUGAGCUGAAAUUGAGAAGUUUUCUUGGUUUGAAGAGAAGGUGAUGGUCUCUGGCUGGUUUGGAGCCAUUUUCUCUGGACAAGCGCCCGCUUCUCACGGCACACGGGCAUUUACCAGCAGUUUUUGGAGCAGUGGCCAAAGUGGGACCGGUUUGGAGCCUGGUGGACCUUGUCCCCACCGGGGAUGAGAUCUGCUGUGUGCUGCAGCUGGGUUGGAGCAACACGGCUCUCCCAGGGGCCGCAUGGGCUGUGCUUCACCCACGGGGUGACACUGGGCUUGAUCACCCGGAGGGACAAUGCUGAGGGACCCAGAUGAAGUGCUGAAGUGCUGCCAGCUCUGGCUCCAUCCACCUCACUGGGUUUUCACUGGGACAAGCUCUGUCUGUCCAUCUCCUUGGGAUCAAACUCUGAUCCCUUUGCCUCCUCUCCUGAUGGUGUGACCAUAGUGGAUCCCCGUGUCCCUCCCGAGGGACACAGGGGAUGCUCCCCAGGGAGAGGGGCUGCCCUCCCCAGCUCAGAAUGGGGUCUGCAAUUUUUGCUGCUGGCUUCUGCAGCACAUUGGAGCCCCAUCCCUGCUCCCAGCUACAGAGAGAGACGGGACGAGGCUGACAUUUGGAGGAUGGGAAGACGCAGGGGAGCAGGAGCAGGGAGGCGAGUUCCCUGGGAGACGUGGCAUUAGAGGAGGUGACUGGCGCUGGUUGACGGCAAAGCCUCUCCAGGAGGCCAGCUCUUUGCCGUGCUGCCUCACUUAAGGUCACCUUCCCUUCCUUCCUCUCCCUUUUGGAGGAGGGCCCUUUGCUGGAGAGAGCAGGAGCAUCCUUGUUUUUUUAUGGGCAGGGAGAGGGGGACACGGACACUCCUCCGAGGCAGUGCCUCGGCCUCCCGGCUUGCUUGCCAUGCCUGGCUUUUGGCUUCUUCUGCAGGAGUUGCCCAAAUCCCAUAUUCUGGUGUCCUGCUCCUCUCCCAGGUGGGAGAGCGGAGCUGGCAGCAAAGCCACCGAGGGCUGUGAAGGACAAGGGGAGGCAGCUUUUGGUCCAGGUCCCACCGGAGCAGCCGGCCAUGGGUGCCUGGGCUCCCCGAGGUGCUGCCUGGUGGCAAAGGCAGCGUGGCCCUCCCAGCUGGUGGCCUUGGAGGCCACCAACCUGGCACUUGGCAGCACAGGGUGGUUGGUCCCCAUCAUGUUGUGUGCCCCAUUGCAUCAUCGUCCCCAAGCUGAGGGUUUAUUGUCCCCAAGCCCAGCUUUCUGCCAUGCUGUGGCGAAACAUGUCCCCAGUAUGGUGCUUGAUGGUCCCCCAUCGCCUUCAAAUGUGUUGACACGCAUCCUGCGGGAGAGUGAAGGGAUCAUUUCCCCCCCCCGGUAGUGGUGGGCAAGCGCUGGAUGUUAAUUUACUCUCCUCCUCACUGAAUUUCCCCCUCUCCAGCGUCUCUUUGCCGCGUUGGACAUGCUUGCCCCCGGCUCCCUGGUGUCGCGCCUGCGGAGGGAAGCCACGGCGGCUGGAAACGCCUGGCUCCUCAAGCACGAUAAUUGAAUGUGACAGGAACACACUAACUAGGAGACCUCGCUGCCUCCAGCUGAUUUGCAUUGCAAAUAGCAUUUAAAAUUAAAGAGUGAUGAGGGUU
This is a long non-coding RNA of Harpia harpyja (harpy eagle), 4062 nucleotides long. RefSeq lists it as uncharacterized. The transcript has 2 exons. The record is from RefSeq and is a predicted model, not a curated record. Lineage: Eukaryota; Metazoa; Chordata; Aves; Accipitriformes; Accipitridae.